UUGCUUGUAAAUCCCUCAAUCUUGUAUUCUCAGUCAUGGAAGCUCAAUGAAAGCACCAAAUGUAACGACUUAAAAUUUAUAAAAGCACAAAAUGAUAAUGGUAAUACUGUAAGGAAGAGUUGUAUUACGUUUGUAGAAUGAAAUGCAUAAGUUCAUUACAAUAUGAUAGUAGCUUAGAAAAGAAGAAGGUGUGUAGAGAACGAAGAAGGAGAAGGCAGAAGGAAUGGAUCAGGGAGAAGCAGAGAGAAUGUGCAGAGGGGAAUCAUUCCACAUCAUUUCACACCCCACUCAUUACAUAAUCAUGCCAUUUAAC
Molecule: long non-coding RNA, 313 nt
Filed under: Cicer arietinum (chickpea)
Lineage: Eukaryota; Viridiplantae; Streptophyta; Magnoliopsida; Fabales; Fabaceae
Description: long non-coding RNA (CARI_LNC002087)
Source: RNAcentral